AUGUAGACUACUGGUUGGGUGCCACUGUGAGCAAGGGUUCCUCAUAUUUCGUGACUUGUGCUCCAAGGACCAUAACACAAGGUCAUACAAUACCGACGGGGACAUGUUUCAGUUUCCGAAAAGAAGAAGUACUUCAGCUAAUGAGCAAAAAUAUCCUUGAUACAAGAUUUAGUAAGCUUAUUUCAUGAAUAUUAAUCAAUAUAGGUGUACAGCCUCAAAUUUUAACUCAAUGACGUAAAAAAAUCUACUCAACUAGUUAUAUACUAAAUGUCAUAAAUAUGGAAAUAUAUCGGUAUGAUAAAAGUUA
Molecule: long non-coding RNA, 307 nt
Organism: Melitaea cinxia (Glanville fritillary)
Lineage: Eukaryota; Metazoa; Arthropoda; Insecta; Lepidoptera; Nymphalidae
Exons: 3
Source: RefSeq, a predicted model, not a curated record